Phrynosoma platyrhinos (Desert horned lizard) is the source of this 73-nucleotide non-coding RNA. The record is from the annotation of a GenBank genome assembly. Lineage: Eukaryota; Metazoa; Chordata; Lepidosauria; Squamata; Phrynosomatidae.
GCCAGCAUGGUGUAGUGGUUUCAGUGUUGGGCUAGGAUUCCAGGAGACCAGGGUUCAAAACCAUGUUCAGCCA